UCCCUGGUAGCUCAGAUGGUAAAGCGUCUGCCUACAAUGCAGCAGACCAGGGUUCAAUCCCUGGGUGGGGAA
Molecule: transfer RNA, 72 nt
Filed under: Ovis aries (sheep)
Lineage: Eukaryota; Metazoa; Chordata; Mammalia; Artiodactyla; Bovidae
Rfam family: tRNA
About the family: Transfer RNA (tRNA) molecules are approximately 80 nucleotides in length. Their secondary structure includes four short double-helical elements and three loops (D, anti-codon, and T loops).
Source: Rfam by way of RNAcentral